Molecule: ribosomal RNA, 460 nt
Filed under: uncultured bacterium
Lineage: Bacteria
Description: partial 16S ribosomal RNA
Rfam family: Bacterial small subunit ribosomal RNA
Source: RNAcentral
CCUACGGGUGGCAGCAGUGAGGAAUAUUGGUCAAUGGACGAGAGUCUGAACCAGCCAAGUAGCGUGAAGGAUGACUGCCCUAUGGGUUGUAAAUUUCUUUUAUAAAGGAAUAAAACGAGGCACGUGUGCCUUUUUGCAUGUACUUUAUGAAUAAGGAUUGGCUAACUCCGUGCCAGCAGCCGCGGUAAUACGGAGGGUCCGAGCGUUAUCCGGCUUUUUUGGGUUUAAAGGGUGCGUAGAUGGGUUGUUAAGUCAGUUGUGAAAGUUUGCGGCUCAACCGUAAAAUUGCAAUUGAUACUGGCAGUCUUGAGUACAGUUGAGGUAGGCGGAAUGCGUGGUGUAGCGGGGAAAUGCUUAGAUAUCACGAAGAACCCCGAUUGCGAAGGCAGCUUACUAAACUGUGACUGACAUUGAUGCUCGAAAGUGUGGGUAUCAAACAGGAUUAGAUACCCGUGUAGUC